Molecule: ribosomal RNA, 440 nt
Filed under: uncultured bacterium
Lineage: Bacteria
Description: partial 16S ribosomal RNA
Rfam family: Bacterial small subunit ribosomal RNA
Source: RNAcentral
CCUACGGGAGGCAGCAGUAGGGAAUAUUGCUCAAUGGGGGAAACCCUGAAGCAGCAACGCCGCGUGGAGGAUGAAGGUUUUCGGAUUGUAAACUCCUUUUGUUAGAGAAGAUAAUGACGGUAUCUAACGAAUAAGCACCGGCUAACUCCGUGCCAGCAGCCGCGGGAAUACGGCGGGUGCAAGCGUUACUCGGAAUUACUGGGCGUAAAGAGCGCGUAGGCGGGAUAGCAAGUCAGAUGUGAAAUCCUAUGGCUUAACCAUAGAACUGCAUUUGAAACUGGUAUUCUAGAGUAUGGGAGAGGUAGGUGGAAUUCUUGGUGUAGGGGUAAAAUCCGUAGAGAUCAAGAGGAAUACUCAUUGCGAAGGCGACCUGCUAGAACAUAACUGACGCUGAUGCGCGAAAGCGUGGGGAGCAAACAGGAUUAGAUACCCUUGUAGUC